GUGGCGGCCAAUGGCCCAGCAGUCAAGAUGGGUGAGCAGAGCAGGCAAAGGUGUUGUAGUGAGGUACUGUUGUGGUGGGGUGUGGUUUUGGCAUCACCUCAAGGUGUGGUUGUCUCAGGUUUUGCAGGAAGUUGUGAAGAGGAGAAGUAGAGUGCUGAGAAGAGCCCGAGCAGGUAUGGUGUGGGCCUUUCCCAAGCGUGGCUGAGGAUUUCAGGUGCCAUGGGCUUCCCCCCAGCCAGGAUGCUGGUGUUUGGAAUUGGCGCAGUUCAGGUGAAGGCAAAUGUGGCAAGCAAAGGAAGAUCGGAG
Long non-coding RNA from Dromaius novaehollandiae (emu), 306 nucleotides. RefSeq lists it as uncharacterized. Lineage: Eukaryota; Metazoa; Chordata; Aves; Casuariiformes; Dromaiidae. The record is from RefSeq and is a predicted model, not a curated record. The transcript has 4 exons.